AACAGUUAAAGUGAAAUAUGCUCCCUAUAGAUGGGCGAAUGACGUGAAAUAUGUAUAAACUUGAUGAAUAAGGGAUGGCAUUAUUCUAUUUAUUAUAUGUAGAUGCGACCACCAUAUGUUAUGCCAUCAGGGAUUAUGAAUAGUUUUUCCCCAUUUAGUAAUCAGAUGUAUAAUCAUGGAACUCAUGGAACCAUUUUGAGUCAGGGAUCAUCAAAUUCUUUUCAGUAUCCUAGGGUAAAUGAAUUGAACAAUUCUGAUGGAACACAAACAAAUGCUCCAAAGUAACGGCACAUAACUCUUAUCUAUUGCAUUGCGAUGCUUCUUGUGUUGUUGAUUCAUUUGUCCUUGUAAGCUCUUUCCUUCCCAAUGGUGGUCCAACUUUUUCCAUGGCUGUUUACCCAUCUGAGUUCGGGAUCCAGCGCAUGAAA
Long non-coding RNA from Eucalyptus grandis, 428 nucleotides. RefSeq lists it as uncharacterized. The record is from RefSeq and is a predicted model, not a curated record. Lineage: Eukaryota; Viridiplantae; Streptophyta; Magnoliopsida; Myrtales; Myrtaceae. The transcript is spliced from 4 exons.